GCAGGACUAUACUGCAGUCGAGCGGACCGACGGGAGCUUGCUCCCUUAGGUCAGCGGCGGACGGGUGAGUAACACGUGGGUAACCUGCCUGUAAGACUGGGAUAACUCCGGGAAACCGGGGCUAAUACCGGAUGCUUGAUUGAACCGCAUGGUUCAAUCAUAAAAGGUGGCUUUUAGCUACCACUUACAGAUGGACCCGCGGCGCAUUAGCUAGUUGGUGAGGUAACGGCUCACCAAGGCGACGAUGCGUAGCCGACCUGAGAGGGUGAUCGGCCACACUGGGACUGAGACACGGCCCAGACUCCUACGGGAGGCAGCAGUAGGGAAUCUUCCGCAAUGGACGAAAGUCUGACGGAGCAACGCCGCGUGAGUGAUGAAGGUUUUCGGAUCGUAAAACUCUGUUGUUAGGGAAGAACAAGUACCGUUCGAAUAGGGCGGUACCUUGACGGUACCUAACCAGAAAGCCACGGCUAACUACGUGCCAGCAGCCGCGGUAAUACGUAGGUGGCAAGCGUUGUCCGGAAUUAUUGGGCGUAAAGCGCGCGCAGGCGGUUUCUUAAGUCUGAUGUGAAAGCCCCCGGCUCAACCGGGGAGGGUCAUUGGAAACUGGGGAACUUGAGUGCAGAAGAGGAGAGUGGAAUUCCACGUGUAGCGGUGAAAUGCGUAGAGAUGUGGAGGAACACCAGUGGCGAAGGCGACUCUCUGGUCUGUAACUGACGCUGAGGCGCGAAAGCGUGGGGAGCGAACAGGAUUAGAUACCCUGGUAGUCCACGCCGUAAACGAUGAGUGCUAAGUGUUAGAGGGUUUCCGCCCUUUAGUGCUGCAGCAAACGCAUUAAGCACUCCGCCUGGGGGAGUACGGUCGCAAGACUGAAACUCAAAGGAAUUGACGGGGGCCCGCACAAGCGGUGGAGCAUGGUGGUUUAAUUCGAAGCAACGCGGAAGAACCUUACCAGGUCUUGACAUCCUCUGACACCCUAGAGAUAGGGCUUCCCCUUCGGGGGCAGAGUGACAGGUGGUGGCAUGGCGUCGUCAGCUCGUGUCGUGGAGAUGUGGGGUAGUCCCGCACGAGGCCGCCACCCUGAUCUAGUGCAGCAUUCAGUUGGCACCUCUAAGGUGACCUGGCGCGGGGGGACAACCGGAGAAAGGUGGGGAUUAACGUUCAAUCAUACAUGGCCGUUAUAGAACCUUGGGGCUUACACGGGUGUCUUA
Molecule: ribosomal RNA, 1211 nt
Filed under: Bacillus tequilensis
Lineage: Bacteria; Bacillati; Bacillota; Bacilli; Caryophanales; Bacillaceae
Description: bacterial SSU rRNA
Rfam family: Bacterial small subunit ribosomal RNA
Source: RNAcentral